CAAUAGCGUAUAUUAAAGUUGUUGCAGUUAAAAAGCUCGUAGUUGGACCUUGGACCUGGACAGGCGGUCCGCCUCACGGCGAGUACUGUCUUGCUGGGUCUUUCCUCUUGGUGAUCUGUUGUUUCGGCAGCAGGGAACCAGGACCUUUACUUUGAAAAAAUAAGAGUGUUCAAAGCAGGCUCGACGCCGGAAUAUAUUAGCAUGGAAUAAUAAAAUAGGACGUGCGGUUCUAUUUUGUUGGUUUUUGGAAUCGCCGUAAUGAUUAAUAGGGACAGUCGGGGGCAUUAGUACUCACAUGCUAGAGGUGAAAUUCUUGGAUUUGUUAAAGACGGACUACUGCGAAAGCAUUUGCCAAGGAUGUUUUCAUUGA
Molecule: ribosomal RNA, 370 nt
Filed under: uncultured eukaryote
Lineage: Eukaryota
Description: partial 18S ribosomal RNA
Rfam family: Eukaryotic small subunit ribosomal RNA
Source: RNAcentral